Long non-coding RNA from Camelus dromedarius (Arabian camel), 1108 nucleotides. RefSeq lists it as uncharacterized. Lineage: Eukaryota; Metazoa; Chordata; Mammalia; Artiodactyla; Camelidae. The transcript has 3 exons. The record is from RefSeq and is a predicted model, not a curated record.
UCCGCGUACAGGAGAGGGAAGGGUCGGGCCCGACCAGGCGGCCCAGUCACCAGAAGACAGGACGCCGCAGCAGCCGCCCAGCGCGGAGCGCUGGGAUCCUCCCAGGAUCGUCCCUUUUUCCCCCUGGCGCCCGUUUUGACAGCUACUCCACGAUUGGUCCGUGAGACAGGCCCCGCCCCCAACUUCCGAGAGGCUGCGCUCAUCCAGUGUUUUGGGAUUCCAGCCCCGGCCACCGCAAGCCCCGCCCCCGCUUCCGGCGGCCGGACCCCGAGUGGUUUCCUGUCCACCGUCGCUCGCGGGCGGGUGUGGUGACCUCUAAGGGGCCCCUCACCCACCCCCAGGUAGAGUCACUGCGGCCCGAGGAGCUCAAGUGAUUUUCCCAAAGCCACUCAUCACUAUUCAGUCACCAUGCUGGGGACCGUCGUAAUAAUGCUAAUGCCGAUAACGCCCCAGCCACUGGGCACCUGGACCAGGUGAUUUACACGUUUAAUCCAGACGACAGUGUGAGGUCCUCACUUACCCACAGCCCUGGAGUCACUAUUCCAGCUCCUUCUCUCUCCGUCUCUCUUCUGUCUCGUCCCCACCACCACCAGAGAAUUCCUCAGUGCAGGGGGAGUUGCAAAAAACAAGAGAAGCAAACUCUGCCUGAUCUGUCAUUUUGAACCAGACGCCCGUACGUGUCUCUUUAAGCACUGAGUACUGAUCAACUCACGGAAAGUCUGCGUCACAAAGCCCGCUUUCCAUCUUUUAUUCAAAUAGGGUAUAAGUCAUCCAUGUUUUACUGCACAUGUCAGAAUUUUUUACCAUGUUACAGAAUGGGCCAAAUCAAUCAUGAUGUAAACAUGCCAACUCUGAGGACUUACGAUAUAUUUCUGAGUUAAAUCUUACAAAGGAGUUCUGUAAUUCAUUAACAGUCCUUAAUGAAUGCUGUUGACUCUUCCUCCACCUCUCUCAGGGAUGAAGCCAAGAAAUCCAAUGCAAAAGCUUGGAGCUCUGCAAGAAGACAAUAGCAAUUGUAUAAGAUACUGCUGUCGAAAUGUAUCAGCAAUAAUGGAUAGCACUGUGGCUGUCUCAAGUUACUAAGCAUUAAAAAUAGAAACAUGGCUUA